UGGAAGCAAGUUUGGGCCUUAGGCCCAAACGUAGCAAAGCCCCAACGAUCAAACGAAUGCUCAGAGGUCCACAAACCGUGAUGCAUAACACCUUUUCCAUCUUGCAGCAUCGUCUUCCUCCUCGCAAAGCUCAACUGGAUCGGAGAUGCGCUCGAAGGGAAGCAACUGGAUUGCAGAGCGACUCGUGAAGGUUUAGAGAGAAGUGUUCUUGAAACUGAAUUGCGAUUGAGGAGAGUGAGAGUUUGAGAACUUGUGAAGCUUCCUCGAAUGAAGAAAAAAGAUUGCAUUAUGGAAAGGCUUGGUUGAAUGUAAUUUCAUGUUGCGCGUUUGGAUUUGUUACACUCGAAUCGAGAUAUGCUUACUAGAAGUUAAGACUUAGCUUAAUUCUGCAAUCAGUUCUGCAAUGGUCCCUGAAUUGGUGAAGUCAGUAUAUGGUUAUUGUGAAUUGAUUUUCUUUUGCAAGGGUGAUGCAUCAGUUAUAUUGUGGAAAAUGCAGGGUGCUGAAUUCUUUUGCUAUGCAGGUGAAAGUGAAGUUGUUGUCAUGCCUUCCACAUUAUUUGGAAUUUCUUUAGAAACAAAUUUGGGAAUUUUGGAUUAAGAUUAUAGGAUUUGUUGAUUUGGUUGUAAAAAUGUGAUGAAAUUAAUGUAUUGAACAUAACAUUAUUGAAUGAAUGUUAUGAAUGGAAUUUGAAUGGAUUAUGCAUAGAAUUGAAUGUAAUAAAAAUGGAAAAUUAAUUGAAUGUUAAAAAGUUUUGAAUGACAA
This is a long non-coding RNA of Lathyrus oleraceus (garden pea), 763 nucleotides long. RefSeq lists it as uncharacterized. The transcript is spliced from 2 exons. The record is from RefSeq and is a predicted model, not a curated record. Lineage: Eukaryota; Viridiplantae; Streptophyta; Magnoliopsida; Fabales; Fabaceae.